CGGACAGGUUACACCUGUACUACACCACAUGACUGAGUUACUGUACGGACAGGUUACACCUGUACUACACCACAUGACUGAGUUACUGUACGGACAGGUUACACCUGUACUACACCACAUGACUGAGUUACACCUGUACUACACCACAUGACUGAGUUACUGUACGGACAGGUUACACCUGUACUACGCCACAUGACUGAGUUACUGUACGGACAGGUUACACCUGUACUACACCAGAUGACUGAGUUACUGUACGGACAGGUAACACCUGUACUACACCACAUGACUGAGUUACUGUACGGACAGGUUACACCUGUACUACACCACAUGACUGAGUUACUGUACGGACAGGUUACACCUGUACUACACCACAUGACUGAGUUACUGUAUGGACAGGUUACACCUGUACUACACCACAUGACUGAGUUACUGUACAGACAGGUUACACCUGUACUACACCACAUGACUGAGUUACUGUACAGACAGGUUACACCUGUACUACACCACAUGACUGAGUUACUGUACGGACAGGUUACACCUGUACUACACCACAUGACUGAGUUAAUGUACGGACAGGUUACACCUGUACUACACCACAUGACUGAGUUACUGUACGGACAGGUUACACCUGUACUACACCACAUGACUGAGUUACUGUACGGACAGGUUACACCUGUACUACACCACAUGACUGAGUUACUGUACGGACAGGUAACACCUGUAAUACACCACAUGACUGAGUUACUGUACAGACAGGUUACACCUGUACUACACCACAUGACUGAGUUACUGUACGGACAGGUUACACCUGUACUACACCACAUGACUGAGUUACUGUACGGACAGGUUACACCUGUACUACACCACAUGACUGAGUUACUGUACGGACAGGUUACACCUGUACUACACCACAUGACUGAGUUACUGUACGGACAG
Molecule: long non-coding RNA, 936 nt
Filed under: Salmo salar (Atlantic salmon)
Lineage: Eukaryota; Metazoa; Chordata; Actinopteri; Salmoniformes; Salmonidae
Description: lncRNA (ENSSSAG00000115768.1)
Source: RNAcentral